This 497-nucleotide ribosomal RNA is filed under the name uncultured bacterium. RNAcentral's name for it is "partial 16S ribosomal RNA". It matches the Rfam family "Bacterial small subunit ribosomal RNA", at positions 28 to 507 of the family's 1533-position model. The record is from RNAcentral.
GAUGAACGCUGGCGGCGUGCCUAAUACAUGCAAGUCGAGAGAACAGAUGAGGAGCUUGCUCCUCUGACGUUAGCGGCGGACGGGUGAGUAACACGUGGAUAACCUACCUAUAAGACUGGGAUAACUUCGGGAAACCGGAGCUAAUACCGGAUAAUAUAUUGAACCGCAUGGUUCAAUAGUGAAAGACGGUUUUGCUGUCACUUAUAGAUGGAUCCGCGCCGCAUUAGCUAGUUGGUAAGGUAACGGCUUACCAAAGCAACGAUGCGUAGCCGACCUGAGAGGGUGAUCGGCCACACUGGAACUGAGACACGGUCCAGACUCCUACGGGAGGCAGCAGUAGGGAAUCUGCCGCAAUGGGCGAAAGCCUGACGGAGCAACGCCGCGUGAGUGAUGAAGGUCUUCGGAUCGUAAAACUCUGUUAUUAUGGAAGAACAAAUGUGUAAGUAACUAUGCACGUCUUGACGGUACCUAAUCAGAAAGCCACGGCUAACUACGUG